AUUGAACGCUGGCGGCAUGCCUUACACAUGCAAGUCGAACGGUAACGGCCUUCGGUGCCGACGAGUGGCGAACGGUGAGUAAUGCAUCGGAACGUACCUUUCAGUGGGGAUAACGUAGCGAAAGUUACGCUAAUACCGCAUAUUCUGUGAGCAGGAAAGCAGGGGAUCGCAAGACCUUGCGCUGGAAUUGACGCGGCCGAUGUCCAGAUUAGCUAGUUGGUGAGGUAAAGGCUCACCAAGGCGACGAUCUGUAGCGGGUCUGAGAGGAUGAUCCGCCACACUGGAACUGAGACACGGUCCA
Molecule: ribosomal RNA, 301 nt
Filed under: uncultured bacterium
Lineage: Bacteria
Description: bacterial SSU rRNA
Rfam family: Bacterial small subunit ribosomal RNA
Source: RNAcentral